This is a long non-coding RNA of Oxyura jamaicensis (ruddy duck), 145 nucleotides long. RefSeq lists it as uncharacterized. The transcript has 3 exons. The record is from RefSeq and is a predicted model, not a curated record. Lineage: Eukaryota; Metazoa; Chordata; Aves; Anseriformes; Anatidae.
CAGACCAGCAUUAACCCUUGCAGAACUCGGCAUUCACCUAUUUUGAUUGCUCAGUGCUCCAAUAUAUCUAGAUCCCCCUGCAAGGCCUCUCAUCCCUCCAGAGAGUCAACAGCACCACCCAGUUUAGUAUCAUCAGCAAACUUGC